AAAGUUUUAAGUUAAUUUAAACUCAUAAUUUUCAAAAUUAUAAAUAAAGACUUUCUUUAAGCUUUA
Molecule: transfer RNA, 66 nt
Filed under: Chimarra sadayu
Lineage: Eukaryota; Metazoa; Arthropoda; Insecta; Trichoptera; Philopotamidae
Description: tRNA-Trp
Source: RNAcentral